CAAUUUAUCGCCCUGCUCCUCAAGUCGUGCUGACUAUUGUGUAGGUUUUUCCAUUGACACAGUAGCUGCUUUUCUUCUGAAAAUAUGGCAUUUGAUAGAAUAUUUUAAAAUUACGAGUGUAAGUCACUUAAAGUAGCUAUUAAAGAAUGCCAUUCUUUUAUUAGUACGUAAAUAUUUAUACAUGCUUCAUAUGAGCUGCAGUUCUGAAUGGGUAAGGCACCGCAGGACGCUUUUUACAUGAUAUGGUAUUUCUUCUCUUGGUAUAUAAAUAUUUUCAGUAAACUUUUAAUGUUUAAUAGCUACUUAGCAUUUUAUGGUAUCAUUAAUUUCUAAUUUGCAUAGCUAUUCUCUGGGCAUGUGGGUUCUGAUUUUUGUAAUUAUAAAUUACGCUGUUAUGAAUUUUAUAUACUAUGCCUGUUUGGGGAUUGGGCAAGUA
RNAcentral lists this long non-coding RNA (436 nucleotides) under Bos taurus (domestic cattle). RNAcentral's name for it is "long non-coding RNA NONBTAT014046". The record is from RNAcentral. Lineage: Eukaryota; Metazoa; Chordata; Mammalia; Artiodactyla; Bovidae.